GGUGGGACUCCAGAACCUGAGCAUGGCUGCUUUGCUGUGCAGGCAAGGAACGGCUUGGGCUGCUCCACUCCCCUGCUUUGCUUUGGGAUCACUGUGAUUUUGGGGGACAGUGCAGGGGGGAAGGGAGAAAGCAUGGGCUUCCCUCACCCAUGGGUGGGUUUUUCCCUAGAAUGGAGGGGUUGUGCCUUCCUCAAACUCCUGACAGACAUAAGAUUUUUUACCUUUUUUCUUCUUUCCCCUUUUUGUCUGUAACCUAUUUUCAUUAAUUUGUUGUUUGUUUUUCUAAAGGAAGCAUUCUAGGUGGGGUCCAGUCUGGAUGAGAAUGUGCUUGGGACUAGCUGUGGCAUGGAUGGGCCGUGCCCUUGGAGAAGACUGAGGACAUCGUCUGGGACCAGCUUUUCAUCUGGCAGCGGAUGGUGUGAGCGGGGCUCUGCGGAUGCUGAGGCUGCUCUGGGCUCUGCCAGGGCUCUGCUGGGCUCAGCACCGGGCCGGGAUCAGCCAAAGAAGAAACGCUGUGACCUGCAGCAGAGACUAGAGCAUUUUGGCAAUGCAGCUCAAGUCUGCAGAGUGUCCACCUCCAAGGGAAAACAUGACACCUCCCAAAAAUUAAACUUGUUCAAUACCUUCUGAAAUGAAAUCCAUCUGGGAUGACCCCAAAUGACAUUUUUCAUCUUGCUCAAGCUGUAGCUCAGCCCUUCUCUGAACAGUUCUCUCCCACACCUGCCUUUUACUUCACAACUGCUCCUUCCUUUCCCCCAGUGAGUUCCCAGCCCAUCACAGUCUCCAUCACACUGCAGCCUUCCUUGAUGCCCCUCUCCAUGAGGAAGUCCAAGCCCCAGUCUCAGGACUCAUCCUGUCACUGGCUGAAGAGCAGCAAUGUCUGUCUGUGCCAGGAGCUCUUAGAUGUCACUGUAUCCAUGGACAGAAGGUCUGUCCUUGCAAAGGUUUCCAUAAUAUCUUUGUACCCAUGAGUAUGGAAUGAACACAGAGGGUGAAAGUGUCA
This is a non-coding RNA of Cyanistes caeruleus (blue tit), 1003 nucleotides long. The record is from RefSeq and is a predicted model, not a curated record. Lineage: Eukaryota; Metazoa; Chordata; Aves; Passeriformes; Paridae.